Molecule: long non-coding RNA, 3193 nt
Organism: Stegodyphus dumicola
Lineage: Eukaryota; Metazoa; Arthropoda; Arachnida; Araneae; Eresidae
Source: RefSeq, a predicted model, not a curated record
UUUAGCCGCGUGCGAGAUGAAGAUUAUCAAUAAAAUUAUUUUGCCGGGAUCUGUUAUUAUUUUGGACUGUUGCAAGAUGUAUAAAUGUCUUAUUGAUUAGGGAUUCAUAUUUUUUCAUGUAAAUCACAAUCUCGUUUUUAAGGAUUCCGAGACAAACUCUAUCGAGUGCACAUUUAAUGUCAUUAAAAAAAAAUGUUUCAAGGAUACUCAGCUGGAGAUGAAUUUGACAUGUGGAGGAGAAAAUAUGCAUAUUUUUCAUCAAGCGAUCGUUUUGCCGAAUUUUAACAAGCGAUUAAGAUUGUUUAUCCUCGCAGUCAUCAGAUGUGUAACUGGAUAAAAUUCAAUUGCCUUGAAGAUAUCACUUGGGAUAGUAAGGAAUUUGCAGCUAAUAGGCAGAAUAUGUUUGUCUCUUUUGGGAUGAUAUGUUUUUAAUGGAAAUGUGCAAAUACACAAAGAUGAAGUUUCGUAAAGAAACAGAUAAUGUUUUCAAUAUUUGUUUAAAUGACAUGAAAGCAUAUAUACCAGCAACCCACAGCCAACUCUAUAAUGGCCUUGAAGUGCAAAAGUCACGUGAUCAAGAUGGUCGAUGUAUUUUUGUGGUAGUGUGUGGUUGUGAACUCGUGGUCGUGGAUUUUUUGGAUGUAUAUUUUGCUAUUAAGUGAUUUUAAAUCACUUAUGCUAAGCUUUUGUUCCAGUGUAAAGACUGCAGUUCAUGAGCCCAUUUGUUGCUAUGCAUCACCACUUGUUGCUGGGGAAGUGAAGAUAUGUAUUAAUCAUUUUGACAUUUCCUGUGAUGAAGAUAUUAACAUCAAGAUGAUCAGAAUGCUAUGGAAACUCCAAAAAGUGUCAAAAGAAACAAACCCUUAGACACAGGUCAAGAUUUUUAAGGAGAAAGAAGCUCCCACCCAGAUGUCAAAGGCUUAUUCUUCAGAAAGUACAAUGAAUUUAUGAGAGUGGGUAAAUUUUUCUUUCCAAUACUAGUGUCUUCCGCAGAAAAGAGCACCUGCAGACUUUUUGGAACCAUGUGACCAAUGAUUGGGGGAUGAAACUUGUCACUUGUUACUUUUUUUCUCAGCUAAUCAUCCGAUUUGGCGGAAAUUUGUUCCCCCUAUCAUAUUUUGCUUGACAGCUAGAAGUAUAUUGAGAGGAGAUUGUGGUCAGAAAAUGGACUCUUCUGUAUCUCCCCUUACCUACAGGUCAUCCGUUAAGAUUUUCUCUAUAUUCUUUUACUGUUUAUAGCAUUCUGUAGUUUCAUUAAUGAUGCUUUAUCAAAAAGAAUGGUCUUCAUUUCUAUCAUCCUUUGAAGUAGUACAUUAUAUUCAGAGCUUAAAUUAAACUGGAGACUAGUUGUGCUAUUUCUUACUUUUUGUGUGAAAUUGCAAUUCCAGCCGAAAACCCCCAAACCUUCCAUAGGGCUCUGGUACUUCUAAUUUUAGAAAUUAAGCGCUGCUUGUGGUUGUAGUUAUGGUGACGUGGCAUAGGAUACUGGUACUAGGGAUAAUGAUGCUGGUAGUGCGGCCAACUACUGUAGUGACCGACUGUGACACUGAAUAAGGAAUGCUAAGCAUAGAAACAUGUUCCUUUUGACUGAUGGUAAAAAUUUUAUCGCAGUGUAUAAUUUCUUGCUACUGGAUACUGCUACCAAAUCUUAUCAUUAUGUUUCUGGAUAGGAAAGUCAACCAUUUCCACAUUUAUUCCGUAGGUGUGCAGAGUAAUUGUAGAUGUUUUACAUGGAAAAAUACGUAAAAUUUUCUCAAUCAGUAAAAGAGGGGGAAGCCAUUGCAUCUGGCUUUGAAGAUAAAUGGCAGUUUCCAAAUUUGUGUAGGAGCUGGUGAUGGCCGACCGUUUCUUUCUUGACGCCAUGCUUGGCCAUGGUUCACCCAUUCCUGCCAGCCUUGUCUAACAGUGGCAUCACUUAAAUCCAAAUACAGUACAAAGUCCAAAAUCCGGAUUCAUCGGGACUACGGCGAUUACGGAUUUGAGAUUUUUCCGAAUAAUAGAUCAUCAAUUUAAAUCUGGUAUAACACAUCAAACAAACAAUAUGACAAACAGUGAGUUACAAUUACCGAAAUCAAGUAUGAAACAGAGUAGUUAUCAUAAGCAAUGGAAGAAUAUCAGAAACUGCAACAGACCUUAAGUAAAGUUGAAAAACCAAUGGAAGCAGACAGUAAAGCAGUUGCGGAAUGAGAAAAAGAAUUACACAAAUUUGAAGAACGAAAGAAAAUAAAGAUGUGGUUCCAAGAGAUUUUCAACAAAUUAAGAGCAUGAAGAAGGCUAAUUCAUUACUAGUUCAUUUGCAUAUAUAUCAUAUGUAUGCUAUAAAGGAUUCUUAAUGCUACUUAUUUCAUGGGAAUAAUGUUUCUUUCCUCACUCAAAUAAUCCUUUGAUGUAGGAAUAUGAAAAAAGAGAUGUCAGAAAUCCUACAUAUGACAGUUUGAAGCUUUAAAACCUUUAGUUUCAUUUAAAAAUGUUAUGUAAAAUACAUAUUUUUAUUCUUAUUAUAAUUUUGCUGUAAAUUUUUUUUACAAAUAAAAAAUUUCUGUUAUGAAAUGGACAUAAUUUUGUAACAGUUUAUAUUUACUAUAAUUUGGUAACAAAUUUUGCAUAUAAACUAAUAAUGGGCAAACAACUAAAUCGGUUUCUAGAAUAGAGUAACUAAAUUCCUGGUUUUAUACUGGCUGUGAAACUGUUUCUGCAUAAAGGAUGAAAUUAUUGUGUGUAACUAGAAAUAUUUCAUUGAAAGCUUCCACAUGAUUAAAAAUGGUUUAAAAAAAUAUAACCAUAUACAGAUUUUAUGUUUUUUAUGGUUAUUUUAUUGUGGAUAUUUUCCAUAGUAUAGGAUUUUGGAGAUAUCAUCCCUGGGCAUAGAGGAAUCAUGGAUCAAUUUGAUUGUCAGUUCCUAAUGGCCACAUUUGUAAAUGUGUAUAUAUCCAGUUUUAUAAGUUUUCACUAAAGAACAUAAUGCUCAACAAUGCAAUUUUUUAGAGCUCAGUUCAUUGAUGGCGUAUCAUCAGUUACACAAAUUGUUCUUAGACAAAAAUGAAGCAAGUAUGUGUAUUGUAAAUCAUAUACAAUUUUUCAUAUUUCUUUACUUGGUGUAUUUUAGCCUGUAUUUUAUCAGAAACAUUUUUUGGGGGCUAAAACUGUUUGUCAUACUUUUAAAAGUACAAUUGUAUUAAAUAAAAAUUUUUGA